ACACGUAGGGGCCUGACGUUGUUCGGAAUCAUUGGGCGUAAAGGGCGCGCAGGCGGCCGUCCAAGUCCGGUGUUAAAUGGUCGGGCUCAACCCGAUCAUGCGCUGGAAACUGGGCGGCUUGAGUCCCGUAGGGGAUGCCGGAAUUCCAGGUGUAGGGGUGAAAUCUGUAGAUAUCUGGAAGAACACCGAUGGCGAAGGCAGGCAUCUGGCCGGAGACUGACGCUGAGGCGCGAAGGCGCGGGGAGCGAACAGGUUUAGAUACCCUGGUAGUCCGCGCAGUAAACGAUGCGCACCAGGUGUCGGGCGGCAGCGCCCGGUACCGGAGCAAACGCGAUGAGUGCGCCGCCUGGGGAGUAUGCCCGCAAGGGUGAAACUCAAAUGAAUUGACGGGG
This 392-nucleotide ribosomal RNA is filed under the name uncultured bacterium. RNAcentral describes it as "partial 16S ribosomal RNA". It matches the Rfam family "Bacterial small subunit ribosomal RNA", at positions 523 to 918 of the family's 1533-position model. The record is from RNAcentral.